GACGAACGCUGGCGGCGUGCCUAAUACAUGCAAGUUGAGCGCUGAAGGUUGGUACUUGUACCAACUGGAUGAGCAGCGAACGGGUGAGUAACGCGUGGGGAAUCUGCCUUUGAGCGGGGGACAACAUUUGGAAACGAAUGCUAAUACCGCAUAAAAACUUUAAACACAAUUUUUAAGUUUGAAAGAUGCAAUUGCAUCACUCAAAGAUGAUCCCGCGUUGUAUUAGCUAGUUGGUGAGGUAAAGGCUCACCAAGGCGAUGAUACAUAGCCGACCUGAGAGGGUGAUCGGCCACAUUGGGACUGAGACACGGCCCAAACUCCUACGGGAGGCAGCAGUAGGGAAUCUUCGGCAAUGGACGAAAGUCUGACCGAGCAACGCCGCGUGAGUGAAGAAGGUUUUCGGAUAGUAAAACUCUGUUGGUAGAGAAGAACGUUGGUGAGAGUGGAAAGCUCAUCAAGUGACGGUAACUACCCAGAAAGGGACGGCUAACUACGUG
This 497-nucleotide ribosomal RNA is filed under the name uncultured bacterium. RNAcentral's name for it is "partial 16S ribosomal RNA". It matches the Rfam family "Bacterial small subunit ribosomal RNA", at positions 28 to 507 of the family's 1533-position model. The record is from RNAcentral.